Molecule: ribosomal RNA, 164 nt
Filed under: Tephrosia purpurea
Lineage: Eukaryota; Viridiplantae; Streptophyta; Magnoliopsida; Fabales; Fabaceae
Description: 5.8S ribosomal RNA
Rfam family: 5.8S ribosomal RNA
About the family: 5.8S ribosomal RNA (5.8S rRNA) is a component of the large subunit of the eukaryotic ribosome. It is transcribed by RNA polymerase I as part of the 45S precursor that also contains 18S and 28S rRNA. Functionally, it is thought that 5.8S rRNA may be involved in ribosome translocation.
Source: RNAcentral
UAAAUGACUCUCGGCAACGGAUAUCUCGGCUCUUGCAUCGAUGAAGAACGUAGCGAAAUGCGAUACUUGGUGUGAAUUGCAGAAUCCCGUGAACCAUCGAGUCUUUGAACGCAAGUUGCGCCCGAAGCCAUUAGGUUGAGGGCACGCCUGCCUGGGUGUCACAA